Molecule: long non-coding RNA, 1621 nt
Organism: Tachysurus vachellii
Lineage: Eukaryota; Metazoa; Chordata; Actinopteri; Siluriformes; Bagridae
Exons: 4
Source: RefSeq, a predicted model, not a curated record
CUCCGCGGAUACCUUGAGGUCGCUGAACACACGGAAAAUAAAAGCCGCCAUGUUGGUGGUCCUGUUCAUGUGUUUUCGGGUCACUUUGGAGUGAAACAGUUUGCUGGUUUACAGGACGGACAGGGUUGGACGAUGAAACUGAAACACUGGUCGUUAUAGUUUUGCAGGUUUCGCAUCUACAUACACUCGAUCUGGUGGACAGUCUUCACCGAUUCCAUAAGAGCAGAGUGUGAAGGUUGAAUCAGCAGAGCAGUAACACACCUGCAGCUUAAACACUGCAGUCCACACAACAUAAUGGGAGAUAUAUCCGAGUUCAAAAGAGGACAAAUCGUUGGUGCUCGUCUCGCUGGAGCAUCUGUGAGCAGGACAGCAAGUCUUUGUGAUGUAUCGAGAGCCACAGUGUCCAAAGUAAUGACUGCAUACGUUCUCGAAGGACGAACUACGUCUAAGAGGAGUAACUGUCGACGUAAGAGGAAACUGUCAGAAAAGGACGUCCAGGUACUAAUCCAGAUCGUAUCCAGAAACCCUGAAACCACGGCUGCCAAAAUCACUGCAGAAUUAAACACACACCUCAACUCUCCUGUUUCCACCAAAACUGUUCGGCGGGAGCUCCACAGGGCCAAUAUAUACGGUGGUGCUCAAAAAAAAAAACUUGAAUGUUUAAAAAUCUGUUCUUAAGUGUGUAUUUCAUUGUGCUCAUAAAAUGUUUAGGAAACUUCCUUUUAAAAGGGUGUGACAGACACCAUGGUGAAGGAAUCUCACUGGAUUCUAAUCUCAGGUCAUUGAGUAUUUUUGUUCACAUGAUGUUUUGUCUUGUUUUUCUCAUGUUUUAGCCUUGACUGUUAUCUAUAAGCUCUAAACUCUAAAGCUUGUCCUUCUGCAUCCACACAUCAGCAAUAAAGCCAGAUGUGUCCCAUUUAGACACAGAUUUCCUUAUAUAGAGCAUCAAUACACUGUUGUGGGUUUAUUUUCAGGCUCUUGGUUUCUUGUUUCUUCCUUCAGCGGAUGAAAAGUCACUGUUUUUGAACAAGAAGAAGAACACAGACAAUAAAAAGUUUGUCAUCAGUAAGGACUCAUCAACCACCAACAUGGCGAUUGUAACAGCCCAUUGUUCAUCAGGACCUUUAGGUGUUCAGACAUGUUCCUGAUCAAUAAAUAAAAGGCGCACGAGGCCUGUUAACAUGACGGGGUUUUAAGAGUUUUUUUGUUUUUCAUUUCUUUACUAACUUUAAAUCAGUUCCGAAAUGAAGUUGUUGAUUUAAAAAAAUGCCUAACAGUGUUUUUCUCGUGAUGGGUUGCCGCAGUACGAGUGUAUUUUAUUAUAAUCAGGCAUCAUCAGCGGAUACCUUGAGGUCCUUGAAGACCUGGUAGAUAAAAGCCGCCAUGUUGAAGGUCCCAGUCUUUCUGUUUCCGAGUGGUGCAACUUGCUCGUUAACUGAACGGACACUGAACGCUCUUUCUGAAGGACAGCAUGGACGGUGAUUAAGACUGAAGACUACGUUGGAAAAUACAAGUAUAGAAGAAUGAAUUUUAUUUCUAGUUUCUGAAAUCAGCUUGAUGUCUCCUUGAUCUGAAGUGUGUGUGUAUGAGUCUUAAUAAAGUCCUCCAUUUUAAAUAAUGA